CCCGAUAAGCGCUGAAAGCAUAUAAGCGCGAAACGGACCUCAAGAUAAGUUCUCCCUUAAGACCACUUGAAGACUACAAGUUUGAUAGGUGGGGUGUGUAAGUACAGUAAUGUAUUUAGCUGACCCAUACUAAUCGGUCGAUCGGCUUGAUUUU
RNAcentral lists this ribosomal RNA (154 nucleotides) under Deltaproteobacteria bacterium. RNAcentral's name for it is "partial 23S ribosomal RNA". It matches the Rfam family "Bacterial large subunit ribosomal RNA", at positions 2759 to 2925 of the family's 2925-position model. The record is from RNAcentral. Lineage: Bacteria; Pseudomonadati; Myxococcota; Myxococcia.